GAUCAUGGCUCAGGAUGAACGCUAGCUACAGGCUUAACACAUGCAAGUCGAGGGGAAACGAUAUUGGAAGCUUGCUUCCGAUAGGCGUCGACCGGCGCACGGGUGAGUAACGCGUAUCCAACCUGCCCACCACUUGGGGAUAACCUUGCGAAAGUAAGACUAAUACCCGAUGAUAUCUCUAGACGACAUCUGAAAGGGAUUAAAGAUUUAUCGGUGAUGGAUGGGGAUGCGUCUGAUUAGCUUGUUGGCGGGGUAACGGCCCACCAAGGCAACGAUCAGUAGGGGUUCUGAGAGGAAGGUCCCCCACAUUGGAACUGAGACACGGUCCAAACUCCUACGGGAGGCAGCAGUGAGGAAUAUUGGUCAAUGGGCGAGAGCCUGAACCAGCCAAGUAGCGUGCAGGACGACGGCCCUAUGGGUUGUAAACUGCUUUUAUAAGGGAAUAAAGUGAGUCUCGUGAGACUUUUUGCAUGUACCUUAUGAAUAAGGACCGGCUAAUUCCGUG
This 505-nucleotide ribosomal RNA is filed under the name uncultured bacterium. Its description in RNAcentral is "bacterial SSU rRNA". It matches the Rfam family "Bacterial small subunit ribosomal RNA", at positions 15 to 507 of the family's 1533-position model. The record is from RNAcentral.